AUACGGAGGGUGCAAGCGUUGUCCGGAUUUAUUGGGUUUAAAGGGUGCGUAGGCGGAUAUAUAAGUCAGUGGUGAAAUACUUCAGCUCAACUGGAGAGGUGCCAUAGAAACUGUAUAUCUUGAGUGAAGUCGAAGUAGGCGGAAUUGAUGGUGUAGCGGUGAAAUGCAUAGAUAUCAUCAAGAACACCGAUAGCGAAGGCAGCUUACUUGGUUUCAACUGACGCUGAUGCACGAAAGCGUGGGGAGCGAACAGGAUUAGAUACCCCGGUAGUCC
This 274-nucleotide ribosomal RNA is filed under the name uncultured bacterium. RNAcentral describes it as "partial 16S ribosomal RNA". It matches the Rfam family "Bacterial small subunit ribosomal RNA", at positions 523 to 796 of the family's 1533-position model. The record is from RNAcentral.